Long non-coding RNA from Pseudopipra pipra, 722 nucleotides. RefSeq lists it as uncharacterized. The transcript is spliced from 2 exons. The record is from RefSeq and is a predicted model, not a curated record. NCBI's taxonomy places the organism in Eukaryota, Metazoa, Chordata, Aves, Passeriformes, Pipridae.
GUCCCCCCACUCCCCAGGGCCUGCUUCCUCUUUUGGGGACUGAGGUAGUGGCCUGGCAGGGCUGCCAGUCUGGCAGGCUCUUGGGUGGCUCUGACCCAGUGUGACAGCAAGGAGCAAAAGACCCUGUCUCACUGUCAUGCUUGUUUUCCUGUAGUCCCACAGCCUUCAGAAAGCACUAGUGACUUGCCGGGGACGAAAAACUAGAAACUACAGAUGAAAAAGCACAGCAAAUGCUUUGGGGAGCAGAGAGAAAAGGAACCCGCAUUCUGCCCAGCACAGAUCUUUUGGACACGAAUUUUGUUUGUGUCGCGCGCGGCUGCAGGUCAGGCUGGCGAGCACAAGCAGCACUGUGACAUAUGGCAAGGAACAGUUUAAAGCUGUGGCUACUCCCACCCUGCUCAGACCCAGUUUGCAGGCGGGAGGUGCGGAGGCUGCUCCUGCAUGGGCUGAGUGAGCUGUUGGCAGGGUUCGAUCAGUCUGCCUCGCUGCGGGAUUUUCUGCUUUGCUGUGGAAAUGUACCAGGACACAUUCAAGUUCAGUCUGGCUCCAAGAGGACGUUCUUCAAAACUGGCUUGAUGGGCUCCUCUUUCCUGACCAUCACAGGAAUUCACUACAAAUAUUUACCAUCUGCAUCUCUGCUCCCCCUAUUGUAUGUACUUUGGUUCCCUAAACCGAUUAUGUAGAUAUUUCACAGUGUCAUAAAAAGCAGAAAGAGCACAGAA